This 247-nucleotide ribosomal RNA is filed under the name uncultured bacterium. Its description in RNAcentral is "partial 16S ribosomal RNA". It matches the Rfam family "Bacterial small subunit ribosomal RNA", at positions 1254 to 1500 of the family's 1533-position model. The record is from RNAcentral.
ACCGCGAGGUGGAGCAGAUCCCAAAAAAGUAGUCUCAGUUCGGAUCGCAGGCUGCAACCCGCCUGCGUGAAGUCGGAAUUGCUAGUAAUCGCGAAUCAGAAUGUCGCGGUGAAUACGUUCCCGGGUCUUGUACACACCGCCCGUCACACCAUGGGAGUUCGCAAUGCCCGAAGUCAGUGACCCAACCGAGAGGAGGGAGCUGCCGAAGGCAGGGCGAAUAACUGGGGUGAAGUCGUAACAAGGUACC